Alosa sapidissima (American shad) is the source of this 969-nucleotide long non-coding RNA. RefSeq lists it as uncharacterized. NCBI's taxonomy places the organism in Eukaryota, Metazoa, Chordata, Actinopteri, Clupeiformes, Clupeidae. The record is from RefSeq and is a predicted model, not a curated record. The transcript is spliced from 3 exons.
AAAAUGGGAGGGUGCUAAAAAUUAGGCCCCGACUGUACAUCGGCACAUAACAAGGAAAACCACUUGAUCUGACUGCAUCUGAACCUGACGCUGAUUUCUGUUUGACUGAAUCUGAAUUUCUCUGUAGUUCAGACAGGAGUCCUGACGGCACCCAUACAUGUGUCUGGAACUAAAGGAGGAAGAGUGGAAUUAACAUGCCCAUAUCCAGAGCACCACGAAUACAUACCAAAGUACUUCUGCCGGGAGCCGUGUGGGCGGAGUGAUGUUCUUAUCACAUUAGGAAAGCCUGAUGAUGGAGUUACAGAGGGAAGAUAUUUAGCUGUGGACACCAUAAGUGCAAGGACUUUCUCAGUGAUCAUCUUUAAUCUGCGGUUGGGUGAUGCUGGAGUUUACUACUGUGGGCUUAGUCAGUGGGGGUCAGACACUAAAACCAAAGUGGUGCUGACGGUCAGUCAAGCUCCAACACCAGUGUCUCUUCCAUCCACCACUAAACCCUCCACCCAUCUACAGGAUACAACCAGCAGCACUGUACCCCCUACAGACUGUCAUCUGGAUGAUGCGUUUUGGGAUUAUUCUGGGACUGCUGUUGUGUGGUGGAUUAACACUCAUUUGGAUGCACAAGACAGCAGCUCCUAUCUGUCUGUACGUGUCUUUAAUGUACACAUCAUUCUGUACGUGUCUGUAAUGUACAUAUCAUUCUGUAUGUGUCUUUAAUGUACACAUCAUUCUGUACGUGUCUUUAAUGUACACAUCGUUCUGUACGUGUCUGUAAUGUACACAUCUUUCUGUACGUGUCCGUAAUGUACACAUCUUUCCGUAUAUUAUGUCACACAUCAUUCAAACUCAUUGUGUGUAUCUGCUCUUCUGGAGAUGCAGGUUCAUGUUCACGCUGGGAUCUGUAAAAAGCCUUGUUAUGUAUUCUUACAUUGUUCUGCUAUAUUAAUAAAAUUGAAUUUUCAUUGAACUGAA